RNAcentral lists this ribosomal RNA (257 nucleotides) under uncultured bacterium. RNAcentral describes it as "partial 16S ribosomal RNA". It matches the Rfam family "Bacterial small subunit ribosomal RNA", at positions 524 to 776 of the family's 1533-position model. The record is from RNAcentral.
UACAGAGACCUCAAGCGUUAUCCGGAAUCAUUGGGCGUAAAGCGUACCGAUAGGUGGUUUAGAAAGUCAGAUGUGAAAUCUCUCAGCUUAACUGGGAGACUGUCUUUUGAAACUUCUAAACUAGAGGGGCAAAGAGGAAGCUGGAACGAACGGUGUAGUAGUGAAAUGCGUUGAUAUCGUUCGGAACACCAAUAGCGUAGGCAGGCUUCUGGGUGCCACCUGACACUGCUAGGACGAAAGCGUGGGGAGCGAAUGGG